Molecule: ribosomal RNA, 491 nt
Filed under: uncultured bacterium
Lineage: Bacteria
Description: partial 16S ribosomal RNA
Rfam family: Bacterial small subunit ribosomal RNA
Source: RNAcentral
GAGUGAACGCUGGCGGUAGGCCUAACACAUGCAAGUCGAACGGCAGCACAGGAGAGCUUGCUCUCUAGGUGGCGAGUGGCGGACGGGUGAGGAAUACAUCGGAAUCUGCCCAGUCGUGGGGGAUAACGUAGGGAAACUUACGCUAAUACCGCAUACGACCUUCGGGUGAAAGAGGGGGAUCGCAAGACCUCUCGCGAUUGGAUGAGCCGAUGUCGGAUUAGCUAGUUAGCGGGGUAAUGGCCCACCAAGGCGACGAUCCGUAGCUGGUCUGAGAGGAUGAUCAGCCACACUGGAACUGAGACACGGUCCAGACUCCUGCGGGAGGCAGCAGUGGGGAAUAUUGGACAAUGGGCGCAAGCCUGAUCCAGCCAUACCGCGUGGGUGAAGAAGGCCUUCGGGUUGUAAAGCCCUUUUGUUGGGAAAGAAAUCUUUCAGGCUAAUACCCUGGGAGGAUGACGGUACCCAAAGAAUAAGCACCGGCUAACUUCGUG